CUUUCAACAACGGAUCUCUUGGUUCUGGCAUCGAUGAAGAACGCAGCGAAAUGCGAUAAGUAAUGUGAAUUGCAGAAUUCCGUGAAUCAUCGAAUCUUUGAACGCACAUUGCGCCCCUCGGCAUCCCGGGGGGCAUGCCUGUUCGAGCGUCA
This 152-nucleotide ribosomal RNA is filed under the name Stereocaulon ramulosum. RNAcentral's name for it is "5.8S ribosomal RNA". It matches the Rfam family "5.8S ribosomal RNA". From Rfam's summary of the family: 5.8S ribosomal RNA (5.8S rRNA) is a component of the large subunit of the eukaryotic ribosome. It is transcribed by RNA polymerase I as part of the 45S precursor that also contains 18S and 28S rRNA. Lineage: Eukaryota; Fungi; Ascomycota; Lecanoromycetes; Lecanorales; Stereocaulaceae. The record is from RNAcentral.